UACGGAGGGUGCAAGCGUUGUCCGGAUUUAUUGGGUUUAAAGGGUGCGUAGGCGGCUCCUUAAGUCAGCGGUGAAAGCCCGGGGCUCAACCCCGGAACCGCCGUUGAUACUGGGGGGCUUGAGUAUGGACGAGGUUGGUGGAAUUGAGGGUGUAGCGGUGAAAUGCUUAGAUACCCUCAAGAACACCGAUUGCGUAGGCAGCUAACUAGGCCAUAACUGACGCUGAGGCACGAAAGCGUGGGGAGCGAACAGG
This 253-nucleotide ribosomal RNA is filed under the name uncultured bacterium. RNAcentral describes it as "partial 16S ribosomal RNA". It matches the Rfam family "Bacterial small subunit ribosomal RNA", at positions 524 to 776 of the family's 1533-position model. The record is from RNAcentral.